This is a long non-coding RNA of Myotis myotis, 1613 nucleotides long. RefSeq lists it as uncharacterized. The transcript has 5 exons. The record is from RefSeq and is a predicted model, not a curated record. Lineage: Eukaryota; Metazoa; Chordata; Mammalia; Chiroptera; Vespertilionidae.
AGUUGUCUGCAGCAGGGAAGGGAAGAGCGAAGACGGGGCUGUGCGAUGGGGUGAGCACUUGCUUUCUGUCCCAUGUGUGCUUAUCGUAUGUCCCCAGUUUAACGGUGAACUUGAGCAUAAGGGUGGUAUUUUCCAUCUCUCACUGCCCUGGGUGGAGCCCCUGGUAAGGACUGGCAAGAUAGGACUGAGCCGUCCCACAGUUGGAAGGUCAUCCAGCCCAACCACCUUGUUUGAGGAAACUGAAGUCAGAGUAGGUGAUCCCCACUUAAAGAUGCAUGGUGAGAAGUGGUGCUGGGCUGGAAGCCAGGUCCCGGCUUCCCCGUUCAGGCCUUCUCCCUACUCGUCUCAAUGACGUACGGGCACUGCUCCUCUCUGAUCUGUCUAAAGCCCCGUUGCCUCUGGGUGGUGCCCACUACGUGGCAUUCCAGGUUCCUUCCCUGCUGUGGGAGGGCUGUCUGCCUGGAGCCCAGGGCCUCACCGGUGAACAGGUGAUAGUCCAGCAGCUUCUCCUUGAUGACGUCAUAGGUCACCAUCUCAGCACAGUUGACGAUGGCAUUCCUCGUGAUGUUGGGGAAAGUUCCUGUUGGAAAGGGAGUGUGGGCUGAUAAAUGGGGAGUAGAAGAAGUGGAACCCUGGCUGCAAGGCCAUAGACCCCAGUUUGGGGGGCAUGGUGCCCCCUUCCAGUGGUCUUAGAGAGCCCAUCCACUCCACUGAGCAGAUUACACAUAACCUAGUGUUAACAACUCUCAGAUUAUCCAUGUCCUCCUUAGAGGCAGAAAACAGAGAGGCCCACUUGUGUUUGUUUGGGGAACAUUUUGGAGGAUAAUCUGCAAAACCUAUCAAAAUUUACAUAUACUCCCGAGACUUGUCUAAAGGAAGUCUUUCUUUGGAAGAGGAAGGUGGGCUCUUGCAACAGUGACAGAGUGCAAUGUUGGCAGCGUCCAGGAGCGCAUCAAGACCAGCCCUUGGUUUCUCAGAGGAGAGCCAGGCUCCGGGAGGGCCCAGCGCAACCACCUCUCCAGCGUUUGCUUGGAAGGUCCUCCCUGCGAUCUCCACACUCAGAGCCUGCAGAGCCUUUGCGGCCCAGCUUCGGCGUCGCCUUCCCUCCAGAGCCCACAUGGCCCUCCUGCCUCCGGGACUGCAUCUCUUGUGGACCUCGCACAUCCUGCCCCGUGCCUGCACAUGGUGGAGGGUUGGCAAAUUGAGCUGAACUGGGAGCACUGUGCUGCUUGACAGAGUCAUAGAGGCCGAUGCGGAUGGAGGCGAAGCUCAUCUGGCGCUGCAGGCCGGCGACCAGCCCGCUGUAGGGGCUGCGGAGACCUUCGGUGCGCACCAUGGUCAGGAUGGUGCCCAGCACGCCGCGGUACUGGACGCUCCGGGCCGCCUGGGAUGCCUGGCUCUCCCCCUGGAUCUGGGGGACACCCCGCAGAGGAAGGUUAAGUGCUGUGCCAAGGGGGAAAAGACAAGAGCUGGGAUUUGGACCUAUCAAGAGAACAUGGCUAGAGAACCUGGAUAGAACCUGGACAGAACCUGGCUGGAGAGCCUGGUGAGAGAACCUGGCUGGAGAACCUAUUGAGAGAACAUGGCUAAAGAACCUGGACAGAACCUGGCUG